Molecule: ribosomal RNA, 3156 nt
Filed under: Triticum aestivum (bread wheat)
Lineage: Eukaryota; Viridiplantae; Streptophyta; Magnoliopsida; Poales; Poaceae
Description: partial small subunit ribosomal RNA
Source: RNAcentral
AUGCCGUGGCUCUCCUUUAGCUGCAACUGCACUGGAUCUGUACUUCGUACCAAGAUCAGCGUGGAAGAAUGGAAGGCUAUAUCAUCUAGAAGCAGUAUUUGCACUGAGGAAACUGGAAUUUUGCCAAUACUCAAGCUUAGCUACAACGAUUUGCCAGCACACAUGAAGCAGUGCUUUGCUUUCUGUGCCAUAUUCCCCAAGGAUUACAAGAUUAAUGUGCAGAGGCUUAUCCAACUAUGGAUCGCAAAUGGCUUUAUCCCUGAACACAAGGAAGAUAGUCUUGAAACCAUUGGACAACUUAUUUUUGAUGAGCUUGCUUCAAGGUCAUUCUUUCUGGAUAUAGAGAAGAGUAAAGAAGACUGGGAGUAUUAUUCCAGAAAUACAUGUAAAAUCCACGAUCUUAUGCAUGAUAUUGCAAUGUCUGUUAUGGAAAAGGAAUGUGUUGCUGUGACUAUGGAUACAAGUGAAAUUGAGUGGCUUGGAGAUACUGCUCGGCAUUUGUUUUUAUCAUGUAAAGGAACAGAAGGUAGUUUGAAUGAUUCUUUGGAGAAAAGAUCUCCUGCCAUUCAAACACUGAUAUGCCAAAGUCAUAUGCGAAGCUCAUUGAAGCAUCUGUCAAAAUAUAGCUCUUUGCACGCCUUGAAGCUCUGUAUUAGAGGCAAAGAAUCAUUUCUUCUGAAAUCAAUGUAUCUGCAUCACCUGAGGUACCUUGAUCUCUCAAACAGUUCUAUCAAAUCACUUCCUGAAGAUAUAAGUAUUCUAUAUAACCUUCAAAUGUUGGACCUUUCCUACUGUUGUUAUCUUUAUCGACUUCCAAUGCAAAUGAAGCAUAUGACUUUCCUCCGUCACCUCUACACUCAUGGAUGUCAGAAGUUGAAGAGCAUGCCUCCAGAACUAGGAAAACUCACUAACCUGCAGACGUUGACAUGGUUUGUGGCAGGAGUUCCUGGCCCUGAUUGCAGUGAUGUUGCAGAGCUGCAGCAUUUAAACCUUGGUGGUUAUCUAGAGCUACGUCAGAUAGAGAAUGUUAAAGAAGCAGAGGCAAAAGUGGCAAACCUUGGAAACAAGAAGGAUCUCAGAGAACUGUCAUUAAGAUGGACUGAGGUUGGCGACAGCAAGGUGCUCGACAAGUUCAAACCUCAUGGUGGGCUGCAGGUUCUGAAGAUAUAUUCCUAUGGAGGAGAGUGCAUGGGUAUGCUGCAAAACAUGGUUGAGAUCCAUCUUUUUCAUUGUGAAAGAUUGCAAAUUUUGUUCAGAUGCAGUGCAAUCUUCACUUUUCCAAAACUGAAGGUGCUUAUGCUAAUACAUCUGUUGGAUUUUGAGAGAUGGUGGGAAAUAGAUGAGAGGCAAGAAGAACAGACAAUAUUUCCUGUGCUUGAGAAGUUGUUUAUUAGUAAUUGUGGAAAGUUGGUAGCAUUACCUGAAGCACCAUUGCUGCAAGGACCUUGUGGUCAAGGUGGUUAUACAUUGGUUUGCUCAGCAUUUCCUGCCCUAAAGGUGCUCAAAAUGAAAAACUUGGAGAGCUUUCAGAGAUGGGCUGCAGUGGAAGAGACUCAAGGAGAACACAUACUGUUUCCUUGUCUGGAGGAACUAUCAAUUGAGAAAUGCCCAAAGUUGACGGCGUUACCUGAAGCACCAUUGCUUCAAGAACCAUGUAUUGAAGGUGGUUACAGAUUGGUACGCUCAGCGUUUCCUGCCUUAAAGGUGCUCAAAAUGGAAAACUUGGAGCGGUUUCAAAGAUGGGGUGUGGUCGAAGGGACAUUGUUUCCUCAGCUUGAGAAACUAUCAGUUCAGAAGUGCCCCAAGAUGAUAGAUUUACCAGAGGCACCAAAACUCAGUGUCUUAAAAAUUAAAGAUGGUAGGCAAGAGAUCUCCGAUUUUGCAGAUAGAUAUUUUUCUUCAUUGACCAAACUGAUAUUGAAUCUAGAAAACACAGAAACAACAUCAGAGGUUGAGUGCACUUCAAUUGUAUCUGUGGACAGCAAGGAGAAAUGGAACGAGAAAUCCCCUCUUACAGUGAUGGAGCUAAGAUGCUGCAACUCAUUCUUUGGACCAGGUGCACUAGAGCCGUGGGACUAUUUUGUACACCUUGAAAAGUUGGAAAUUGAUAGAUGUGAUGUGCUUGUCCACUGGCCAGAGAAAGUGUUCCAAAGCUUGGUAUCCUUGAGGACAUUAGUGAUUACAAGCUGCGAAAAUCUGACUGGAUAUGCACAAGCUCCUCUUGAGCCAUUGGCAUCCGAAAGGAGUCAGCACCUGAGAGUUCUGGAGUCUCUUUGCUUAGAAAACUGCCCAAGUUUAGUAGAGAUGUUCAACGUCCCGACAUCUCUCAAGAAAAUGUAUAUUAAUGGGUGCAUUAAGCUUGAGUCCAUAUUCGGCAAGCAGCAGGGCAUGGCUGAGUUAGUCCAAGGAUCUUCUAGCAGUGAGGCAAUCAUGCCUGCAGCUGUAUCAGAGUUGUCAUCCUCACCCAUGAAUCACUUUUGUCCAUGCCUAGAAUAUCUACAGUUAUCUGAUUGUGGAAGCUUACCAGCGGUUCUACAUCUGCCUCUGUCCUUAAAGACCUUAGAAAUUUAUAACUGCAGUAGUAUUCAAGUCCUAUCAUGCCAGCUGGGUGGGCUCCAGAAACCAAAAGUCACUACCUCCAUAAGCAGAAGUCCUGUCAUGCCAGAGCCACCACCACCAGCAGCAGCUGCUGCAAGAGAGCAUUUACUUCCUCCCCAUCUCGAAUCUCUAGUAAUACUGAACUGUGCUGGCAUGUUGGGUGGGACUCUCCGUCUGCGUGCACCCCUCAAGAGACUGCGCAUUAUUGGCAACAGUGGGUUGACAUCGCUGGAGUGUCUGUCAGGAGAGCACCCCCCAUUGCUGGAAGUCCUUGAUCUUCAAAAGUGCAGUACCCUAGCUUCCCUGCCGAAUGAGCCGCAAGUAUACAUGUCUCUCUGGAAUCUUGAAAUUAGAGGCUGCCCUGCUAUAAAGAAGCUCCCUAGAUGCCUGCAGCAGCAACUGGGCAGCAUUGAUGACGAGUACAAAGAACUAGAUGCCCAUUAUGAAGUGAUGGCACUUAAACCGAAGACAUGGAAGGAGAUGCCAAGGCUAGUCCGUGAGCGGAGGAAGGCCGCUCGAGAAGCCAAGGAGCGCCAGCAAUCCGCCAUGCAGGAGUAA